Molecule: long non-coding RNA, 425 nt
Filed under: Homo sapiens (human)
Lineage: Eukaryota; Metazoa; Chordata; Mammalia; Primates; Hominidae
Description: non-protein coding lnc-AHNAK2-5:1
Source: RNAcentral
CUGUGGCCCCGAGCUGCGGCCCCCUGCCUGGACUGGGGCUGGGACACUGGGGCGGUCCCUAUCGGCCGGCGUUGGGCCACGGCGCUUGUCGGCCUUGGGGUCCCCGGACGGGCUGUGCGUGAAGGACUGGGAGCGCUUCUUUCGGGGUGUGUCCUCGUCGAAGAACUCGAUGACAAAGGCCUGCUGGUUAUGUAGUAGCUCCUGGGGGUCCCGCUUGAUCUGCCUCUGCAGCCGCACCUGCUCCCCGCUGGCCUCCAAGGGCACCCCAGCGGCCGAGGCCGCCUUGGCCAGGGGGUCCUCUGAGUCACUCUGCGUGCCGUCCUCGUGCUUGUGGCCUUCAGGGUGCGGGUGUGGACAGGCAGGUCGCUCUUGGUGCUGUGGCGGUCAUCCCCAGGGCCAACCCGGUGCAGCAGGCUCGGGUCAUU